AUUGAACGCUGGCGGCAGGCCUAACACAUGCAAGUCGAGCGGAUGAAGGGAGCUUGCUCCUGGAUUCAGCGGCGGACGGGUGAGUAAUGCCUAGGAAUCUGCCUGGUAGUGGGGGAUAACGUCCGGAAACGGGCGCUAAUACCGCAUACGUCCUGAGGGAGAAAGUGGGGGAUCUUCGGACCUCACGCUAUCAGAUGAGCCUAGGUCGGAUUAGCUAGUUGGUGGGGUAAAGGCCUACCAAGGCGACGAUCCGUAACUGGUCUGAGAGGAUGAUCAGUCACACUGGAACUGAGACACGGUCCAGACUCCUACAGGAGGCAGCAGUGGGGAAUAUUGGACAAUGGGCGAAGGCCUGAUCCAGCCAUGCCGCGUGUGUGAAGAAGGUCUUCGGAUUGUAAAGCACUUUAAGUUGGGAGGAAGGGCAGUAAGUUAAUACCUUGCUGUUUUGACGUUACCAACAGAAUAAGCACCGGCUAACUUCGUG
This 484-nucleotide ribosomal RNA is filed under the name uncultured bacterium. RNAcentral describes it as "partial 16S ribosomal RNA". It matches the Rfam family "Bacterial small subunit ribosomal RNA", at positions 30 to 507 of the family's 1533-position model. The record is from RNAcentral.